AUUGAACGCUGGCGGCAGGCCUAACACAUGCAAGUCGAGCGGAUGAAGGGAGCUUGCUCCUGGAUUCAGCGGCGGACGGGUGAGUAAUGCCUAGGAAUCUGCCUGGUAGUGGGGGAUAACGUCCGGAAACGGGCGCUAAUACCGCAUACGUCCUGAGGGAGAAAGUGGGGGAUCUUCGGACCUCACGCUAUCAGAUGAGCCUAGGUCGGAUUAGCUAGUUGGUGGGGUAAAGGCCUACCAAGGCGACGAUCCGUAACUGGUCUGAGAGGAUGAUCAGUCACACUGGAACUGAGACACGGUCCAGACUCCUACGGGAGGCAGCAGUGGGGAAUAUUGGGCAAUGGGCGAAAGCCUGAUCCAGCCAUGCCGCGUGUGUGGAGAAGGUCUUCGGAUUGUAAAGCACUUUAAGUUGGGAGGAAGGGCAGUAAGUUAAUACCUUGCUAUUUUGACGUUACCAACAGAAUAAGCACCGGCUAACUUCGUG
RNAcentral lists this ribosomal RNA (484 nucleotides) under uncultured bacterium. RNAcentral describes it as "partial 16S ribosomal RNA". It matches the Rfam family "Bacterial small subunit ribosomal RNA", at positions 30 to 507 of the family's 1533-position model. The record is from RNAcentral.